RNAcentral lists this ribosomal RNA (219 nucleotides) under Triticum aestivum (bread wheat). Its description in RNAcentral is "partial small subunit ribosomal RNA". Lineage: Eukaryota; Viridiplantae; Streptophyta; Magnoliopsida; Poales; Poaceae. The record is from RNAcentral.
AUGGUCCUUCAGCAAAAAGGAAGAGAAAGAGUCAAUUUAGGGGUAUUCGUCAGCGCCCCUGGGGUAAGUGGGCUGCUGAAAUCAGAGAUCCAAGCAAGGGUGCACGUGUCUGGCUUGGUACUUUCAACAGUGCUGAAGAAGCUGCAAGAGCUUACGAUGUUGAAGCACGCAGGAUCCGUGGCAACAAGGCCAAGGUUAACUUUCCAAAGGAACCAAUAG